UACGGGGGGGGCAAGCGUUGUUCGGAAUUACUGGGCGUAAAGGGCGCGUAGGCGGCCAACUAAGUCGGACGUGAAAUCCCCAGGCUCAACCUGGGAACUGCGUCCGAUACUGGAUGGCUUGAAUUCGGGAGAGGGAUGCAGAAUUCCAGGUGUAGCGGUGAAAUGCGUAGAUAUCUGGAGGAAUACCGGUGGCGAAGGCGGCAUCCUGGACCGACAUUGACGCUGAUGAGCGAAAGCCAGGGGAGCAAACGGG
This 253-nucleotide ribosomal RNA is filed under the name uncultured bacterium. Its description in RNAcentral is "partial 16S ribosomal RNA". It matches the Rfam family "Bacterial small subunit ribosomal RNA", at positions 524 to 776 of the family's 1533-position model. The record is from RNAcentral.